UACGAAGGGAGCUAGCGUUGUUCGGAAUCACUGGGCGUAAAGCGCGCGUAGGCGGCUUUGCAAGUCAGGGGUGAAAUCCCACAGCUUAACUGUGGAACUGCCUUUGAAACUGCAAAGCUGGAAUGCGAGAGGGGAUGGCGGAAUUCCUAAUGUAGAGGUGAAAUUCGUAGAUAUUAGGAGGAACACCGGUGGCGAAAGCGGCCAUCUAGAUCGCAAUUGACGCUGAAGUGCGAAAGCGUGGGUAGCAAACAGG
RNAcentral lists this ribosomal RNA (253 nucleotides) under uncultured bacterium. RNAcentral's name for it is "partial 16S ribosomal RNA". It matches the Rfam family "Bacterial small subunit ribosomal RNA", at positions 524 to 776 of the family's 1533-position model. The record is from RNAcentral.